GGGCCCUCUAUGGAUAGCUCCAUUCAGAGCCUGGCGGAAGUGCUGUUCAUGAUGGAUGUCCCUCUCCACCCCCAGGGAAGGAAAACGUCAGCCUAGAGCAAAGGGACUUUGCUCUACACCUCAUUGAAGAAAUAUCUGGACACCAGUUUGCCAGUAUCUUUGAAACAUUUGAAUUCAGCAUUUUUCUUCAAAGGAUGAUGCCAAGCCAGCAAGCAGAAAGGUAAUAUGGUACUCCAGUUUGUGGAGGUUAACAGUAAUCGAGCAUCUGAAAGUCACGCAAACCAGCCAUUAUCACAAAGCAAAGCAGAGUGACAGCCUACCACUGCCUCAAGGAGAGAGCACUGUGUACCUACAUGGCCUUUCCUCAGUGGCCCCAAGUGCCUGCCAUGGUGUGCCUUCCCCCUACCUCAGGAAGGUCAUCUGAAAGGGCAGCUGGGAUGGGCCAUUCUCCUCCAGGUAAAGAUGACCCUGCUACCUCUCCUAGGACUGGGUAUUAAAGGACCCUCUCUCAGGCCCAGAGAGUUGGUGUCUUUCCC
Molecule: non-coding RNA, 536 nt
Organism: Peromyscus maniculatus bairdii (prairie deer mouse)
Lineage: Eukaryota; Metazoa; Chordata; Mammalia; Rodentia; Cricetidae
Source: RefSeq, a predicted model, not a curated record